CUGCACAAGAAGAAGAAACCUCCGAGCAUCAGCGCGCAGUUCAGCGUGUCUCUGAAUAAGCUGAUGGAGACUCUGGGACAGUCGGAGCCGUACUUCGUGAAAUGCAUCCGCUCUAAUGCAGAAAAGCUUCCUCUGCGUUUCAGCGUAGGCGCUGGUGUUGAGACAGUUUACGACA
Long non-coding RNA from Cyprinus carpio (common carp), 175 nucleotides. RefSeq lists it as uncharacterized. The transcript has 3 exons. NCBI's taxonomy places the organism in Eukaryota, Metazoa, Chordata, Actinopteri, Cypriniformes, Cyprinidae. The record is from RefSeq and is a predicted model, not a curated record.